Molecule: long non-coding RNA, 349 nt
Organism: Oncorhynchus masou masou (cherry salmon)
Lineage: Eukaryota; Metazoa; Chordata; Actinopteri; Salmoniformes; Salmonidae
Exons: 3
Source: RefSeq, a predicted model, not a curated record
UGGACUGUGGUCUGUGUUGGAUGUUGCUGUUCAGUCUGUGUCCUGUGUCUGCUCUCCUCUCCUCUCUCCUCUCCUCCACCUGUGUCUACUCCUUCUGCAGAACAACAGCUCCAACUGAGACUCAGGUUCCUCUGAACAGGACGACCAGCAGGGGAAGUGACAGCAGAGAGCAGACUACAGUCAGAUACCUACGCAUCCAUUAAAUCCAGCAUUUUGAGACUGAAAGCAUCCAUCAAUUCCAGCAGAGUGAGACCCAUUACCACCCAUCAAUACCAGCAGAGUGAGACCCAUUACCAGCCAUCAAUACCAGCAGAGUGAGACCCAUUACCAGCCAUCAAUACCAGCAGAG